CGCGUAGGAAUCUACUCUAAAGUGGGGAAUAACCCGAGGAAACUCGGGCUAAUACCGCAUAUGUUCUACGGAAUAAAGCUGGGGACUGCUUCGGCAGCCUGGCGCUUUAGAAUGAGCCUGCGUCGGAUUAGCUUGUUGGUAGGGUAAUGGCCUACCAAGGCAACGAUCCGUAGCUGGUCUGAGAGGACGAUCAGCCACACUGGGACUGAGACACGGCCCAGACUCCUACGGGAGCAGCAGUGGGGAAUAUUGGACAAUGGGCGCAAGCCUGAUCCAGCAAUACCGCGUGUAUGAAGAAGG
This 300-nucleotide ribosomal RNA is filed under the name uncultured Coxiellaceae bacterium. RNAcentral describes it as "bacterial SSU rRNA". It matches the Rfam family "Bacterial small subunit ribosomal RNA", at positions 114 to 414 of the family's 1533-position model. The record is from RNAcentral. Lineage: Bacteria; Pseudomonadati; Pseudomonadota; Gammaproteobacteria; Legionellales; Coxiellaceae.